Molecule: ribosomal RNA, 455 nt
Filed under: Weissella confusa
Lineage: Bacteria; Bacillati; Bacillota; Bacilli; Lactobacillales; Lactobacillaceae
Description: bacterial SSU rRNA
Rfam family: Bacterial small subunit ribosomal RNA
Source: RNAcentral
CCUACGGGUGGCUGCAGUAAGGAAUAUUGCGCAAUGGGCGACAGCCUGACGCAGCGACGCCGCGUGGGGGAUGAAGGUCUUCGGAUUGUAAACCCCUUUCGGCAGGGAAGAUGGAACGGGUAACCGUUCGGACGGUACCUGCAGAAGCAGCCACGGCUAACUUCGUGCCAGCAGCCGCGGUAAUACGAAGGUGGCAAGCGUUGUUCGGAUUUACUGGGCGUACAGGGAGCGUAGGCGGUUGGGUAAGCCCUCCGUGAAAUCUCCGGGCCUAACCCGGAAAGUGCGGAGGGGACUGCUCGGCUAGAGGAUGGGAGAGGAGCGCGGAAUUCCCGGUGUAGCGGUGAAAUGCGUAGAGAUCGGGAGGAAGGCCGGUGGCGAAGGCGGCGCUCUGGAACAUUUCUGACGCUGAGGCUCGAAAGCGUGGGGAGCAAACAGGAUUAGAUACCCUUGUAGUC